AGUAAAUAGAUACCCAGGUAGUCCACGCCGUAAACGAUGAAUGCCCAGCCGUUAGUGGGUUUACUCACUAGUGGCGCAGCUAAACGCUUUAAGCAUUCCGCCUGGGGAGUACGGUCGCAAGAUUAAAACUCAAAGGAAUUGACGGGGGCCCGCACAAGCGGUGGAGCAUGUGGUUUAAAUUCGACGCAACGCGCAGAACCUUACCAGCCCUUGACAUGUCCAGGACCGGUCGCAGAGAUGUGACCUUCUCUUCGGAGCCUGGAGCACAGGUGCUGCAUGGCUGUCGUUAGCUCGUGUCGUGAGAUGUUGGGUUAAGUCCCGCAACGAGCGCAACCCCCGUCCUUAGUUGCUACCAUUUAGUUGAGCACUCUAAGGAGACUGCCGGUGAUAAGCCGCGAGGAAGGUGGGGAUGACGUCAAGUCCUCAUGGCCCUUACGGGCUGGGCUACACACGUGCUACAAUGGCGGUGACAAUGGAUGCUAAGGGGCGACCCUUCGCAAAUCUCAAAAAGCCGUCUCAGUUCGGAUUGGGCU
This 533-nucleotide ribosomal RNA is filed under the name uncultured bacterium. RNAcentral's name for it is "bacterial SSU rRNA". It matches the Rfam family "Bacterial small subunit ribosomal RNA", at positions 774 to 1304 of the family's 1533-position model. The record is from RNAcentral.